RNAcentral lists this ribosomal RNA (362 nucleotides) under Burkholderia pseudomallei. Its description in RNAcentral is "bacterial SSU rRNA". It matches the Rfam family "Bacterial small subunit ribosomal RNA", at positions 1 to 362 of the family's 1533-position model. Lineage: Bacteria; Pseudomonadati; Pseudomonadota; Betaproteobacteria; Burkholderiales; Burkholderiaceae. The record is from RNAcentral.
AUUGAACUGAAGAGUUUGAUCCUGGCUCAGAUUGAACGCUGGCGGCAUGCCUUACACAUGCAAGUCGAACGGCAGCACGGGCUUCGGCCUGGUGGCGAGUGGCGAACGGGUGAGUAAUACAUCGGAACAUGUCCUGUAGUGGGGGAUAGCCCGGCGAAAGCCGGAUUAAUACCGCAUACGAUCUGAGGAUGAAAGCGGGGGACCUUCGGGCCUCGCGCUAUAGGGUUGGCCGAUGGCUGAUUAGCUAGUUGGUGGGGUAAAGGCCUACCAAGGCGACGAUCAGUAGCUGGUCUGAGAGGACGACCAGCCACACUGGGACUGAGACACGGCCCAGACUCCUACGGGAGGCAGCAGUGGGGAAU